GAUGAACGCUGGCGGCGUGCCUAAUACAUGCAAGUCGAGCGAACAGACGAGGAGCUUGCUCCUCUGACGUUAGCGGCGGACGGGUGAGUAACACGUGGAUAACCUACCUAUAAGACUGGGAUAACUUCGGGAAACCGGAGCUAAUACCGGAUAAUAUAUUGAACCGCAUGGUUCAAUAGUGAAAGACGGUUUUGCUGUCACUUAUAGAUGGAUCCGCGCCGCAUUAGCUAGUUGGUAAGGUAACGGCUUACCAAGGCAACAAUGCGUAGCCGACCUGAGAGGGUGAUCGGACACACUGGAACUGAGACACGGUCCAGACUCCUACGGGAGGCAGCAGUAGGGAAUCUUCCGCAAUGGGCGAAAGCCUGACGGAGCAACGCCGCGUGAGUGAUGAAGGUAUUCGGAUCGUAAAACACUGUUAUUAGGGAAGAACAAAUGUGUAAGUAACUAUGCACGUCUUGACGGUAGCUAAUCAGAAAGCCACGGCUAACUACGGG
Molecule: ribosomal RNA, 497 nt
Filed under: uncultured bacterium
Lineage: Bacteria
Description: partial 16S ribosomal RNA
Rfam family: Bacterial small subunit ribosomal RNA
Source: RNAcentral